Brassica napus (rape) is the source of this 2612-nucleotide long non-coding RNA. RefSeq lists it as uncharacterized. The record is from RefSeq and is a predicted model, not a curated record. The transcript is spliced from 2 exons. NCBI's taxonomy places the organism in Eukaryota, Viridiplantae, Streptophyta, Magnoliopsida, Brassicales, Brassicaceae.
GCCUAUUUUAAUUAAUACAAAAUUGAGGUUACAUCUUUUCAAAUGUUCCUCAAUUAAUAUAUAGGAGAUAUAUUUUAAAUUUUUAAUAUUUGUGAAUUUUAAUUUGUCAAGACAACAUCAAAGUUUAAUUGGGCUAGAUGACCAACAAAAGAAGUUUAAGUGGGCUGUUUGGAAAAGAAAUUAACUGGGUUUAUAGCCUUGCGUGACAGGCUCAAAUGCAGGUUUAUUGUUUAUGAAAAAAAACAUGCAAUAUGUUAAAAAGGAUGAGAAGAUACAAGUAUGCAUGGUUACAUUAGUAAACUAUGAUGUUUAACUAUGAAUGAAAGUCUGUGUUACGAAAAGAUACAUUAGGCAUGUGGGGACAAUACUAAACCAUGAUGUUUAAUUAUGAAUGAAAGACUGUGUUACAAAAAAGAAGUAUGUUAUGCAUGUAGAAGAGAUGGUGACUGACAUAGUCUAAAGUCUAGAGUACACGCGGGGCAAGCCCGAUCACCACCUCGCGUGUACUCGAGACUAUCUCCUAACAUAAUUAAAAUGCAUUUUCAUGAAUAGUUCAUUUGUUGUAAUAUUGGAAUUAGUUCAUUUUAUUAUUAAGAAUGAACUAAUUUCAAUAUUACAAUAAAUGAACUAUUCAUAUAAAUGCAUUUUAAUUAUGGAGUUGAUAUUUUGUAUAACAAUGCUUUGUUUUUAAAUUCUUUUUACUAUUAUCUUAUAAGUUAGUCUUCAAUUUGUUUUAUAUACCGUUUUUGCAGUGGCACUAUCACCAGGAGCCUCCACCUCCCUUUGUCUUAUUUCAUUUCAACAACCAUCCAUUACUUUGAAAUAGUGAUCUUAUUCUCAACAUAUUUUUACACAAGAAGAUCUUAUAUAUAACACACACAUACAAAAAAAUGAAAUCCAAUCCAAUAUGAAUCCACUUUUAGGGAUAAAAACUACAUUUGAUCUCUCAUUUCUAUCUAGAAAGUUAAUUAUAAGAAUGCUAUUUUUGAUUGGUAACAACAUUUACUCCCAAAAAAACUAGUAACAACAAUAUCUAUCUAUUAUUAUAAAGAACUGUUUGCUCUCUCCUGGUGCCUCCACAUAGGAUUCCACAUCAGAAAGUCGUGCUCUGUAGUGACGACACAUGUCCAUUCAACCGAAACACACCGUUUCAUUUAAGUACUGAUACGAUUGAUGCGGGCUUUAAUAUGUUUUGCUUUUUCUUUUCUUAUUCUUGAUGGGUUUACUGGGCUAUUUUUGAUUAAUCAGAAUGUCAAGUGUCCAGCCCAACGUAUGUCUACAAACACGAAAGCUACUGCGAUCAACAAGAGCUUUCAGAUAUUUCCAGGAGGUAAAACACUGAAAACGUCUUCACAUAGAGCUUUACUGAGAUUCUUACAAACUGUAUUCCAGUUAGUGAUUCAGCUAAGAAAUUUGAUUCAAACUCACUCUUAGUGCUGCUAAUUUUUGAACAAUUAUGAGAAAGCUAUUACUGUUAAAGUGGAUGGACUUGUGGCUUUGACACUAAAUCAAGAUCAACAAGAAGCCUCUUCUAUAGUCUUUCCUAUUAUUUAAUGGUCUUUCCACUGUUCGUUUACUAUGAGAAUGAGAUGAUAUCAUAUGUCUAAUCAAUGGUUUAGUGAGUUUGUUUAUCUUUGUUGAUGUUUUCCACUCUCCAUGUUUGAUGUUUUCAGGCAGUGAAGAAAGGAGACGCUAUGUUUGUUGGGCAAUACCUAUUCACUGGUACUGAAACAACUUCAGUUUGGCUUGAGGUAAAAUAAAAUAGAAGCUUAUGAAUAGUGUCUAUGUUGAAGUCUUAGACAGUUAAAUUUAUAUUGUUAAAUAAAUAAAAAAGAGUCGAUAAGAUUUUUCAAAGAUGCUCUUCUUCCUCUGUUCUUCUCAUUCUUCUCUGGGUUUGUUUUCUUGAUUAUAAAUAAAUUAUUGCUUCUUCUUUUUAAUGGUCGAAGCAAUUCCAUGACCACAUCAAAUACAGUCAUGGAGAUGGAGGAUGAAGAAAUUUCCUAGAUCACAAAUCGUCCUGCUGUUCAUCUGGAGAUGGGAAAGAUCAUGAUUCGGGAGGGUGAUGAAGCUGCGGCUCAGGAGGAUGAGAGGGUUGGGAAGGAGCCUGAGGUAGAGAGGAAAAGGGAUGCGGAACCAGAGUUUGGAAAGCAGAAGGAGAAGAAGGAGGAGAAGCAUAAAGCUUUGAAGGAGAAAGAGAUGAUUAAUAGUGCUGCAUACAAGGAGAGAGAGAGAUACAGAAACAUGAAGAGGUGAAGUGUUUAAAGAGGGAGGCUGGUGAGGCAGAGAGGAAGCGUGUAGAAGAAUAAGAAUAAGAGGCCCGAGAGAGCGCAGAGUGUCAGGCUGCAGAGAGAAAAGCUGCUCGACUGAGAAUGAGCCAAGAGAGAGCACUCCCUCUUGGCGGAACUGAGAAAGGACCUUAUGCUACACAUGCUACAAGAGUCAGCAUAAGUUAUUUGAUACUUUCUCGAUGUUAGAUGAAGUCUUUGAUAAGUUCUUUGAAUCAGCAUAAACAUAUAUGCAUUACAUUUUUAUAUAGAUGAAUUAGAAAACAUGUUUUAUUAAUGUGUCUCAAAGGUGAAAAUAUAAUGAACAGGUUUUGAAACUGUUAAAUA